CACACGUGCACCUAACUGAUCACCUCUAAAUGAUCUAAAUCUAAAUGAUUUGUUUUUCACAGUCUCUUAAAUGUGAGGUAUUAAAUGCUUUGAUCAUUUUCUUAUUGCUAAUUAAAUGUCUUUGGGUUUUUCAACUUUACACUUUGGGCUCUGGGAGACAUUUCAACAGACAGUUGACAUUAUUUCUAACAUUAAUUAGCCUAAACGAAUCAUUUUUAAAGUGAAAUGACAAUUGAUACAUUGAUUUGUAAUUGAAACAAUCAUUAGCAUUACUGUUGGUACUUUUAUAGGUUUGAUACAUAGUCCAAGUUGGCUAGAGGGUCGCAUAACAAGGCGUCAGAUUACGUAGAUUGUCCUUUAUGUUGUCAUAUUAAUAAUGUAUGUAUAAGUCCAGAGGUACAGUACAUAUAUCAGUUUAAGUCAGAUAAAAAGGAUACAUUGAUCAAAAUGAGAAGAAAAAACAUUCAGUUAAUGCCAUUGCAGGGUUUUAGUGAGUAUGUAUGUUUUUUCUGAUUUGUCACCCCUUCCUUGAAUUUGAAAACAAAUCCCUAGUUGUGGAAUCUCAUUUGGCCUUGUCUCUUUUUGUAAAUGUUAAACUCUACAGUAUCCCUUUUUUUCCCCUCUAUAUUUGGCUACUCUACGCAGUACUGCAGCCUGUUGUCCACAUAAUACUAUUUAGGUCAAUGCCGGUGACACAUUGAGCUCACUAUAAAACUUGGAUAACGAAAUGUUAAAAGCAUAGCUCCCUACAAAGUCGAUUGUAUGUUCUUUUUCCUACUGACCAGUAACUAGGCCAAAAAUAUCCAGAUUUUUCAUGCCACUUUGUUCUGUGACUCAGCUCCAGUUUUUGGUCUCUCCGUCUCUAUAAAUAAACCCUCCCUGACUUUGAAAAGCAGGUCACGUUUGUUUGUUGAGUUCACCAGUGAUGGCUCCCUUGAGAACGGGGAUCACUCGUAGUCCCUGUCUGGCUCUGUACCCCUAUCCCCGUUCAGAGGGCAGGAGAUUUUACAGACGCUCAGCUGUUGACAUGACUUUCUUUAUGGGAGCCCAUAACCAAGUGUUAAUGUUUGCUUGAAGCGUGGCUAUCAUGUAUCUUUGGAGGGUGUUCAGGUUUGGACCACAGACGUGCUGGUGGUGUCACAGAGCGACUGCUGCUUAACCACAGCACCCUGGCCGACUGCAGUAUUUGUUUUUAGGGGGUGUUAAAGGCAGUUCAAAUGUGCCAAGUACUUGAAGUAUGUGCUUUUUACUUUUCUGGUUGAAAUUGCCAUUAUGGGUAUGGAAAUGUGCCAAAAACCAAUUUGUUGAUUUAGUAUGUCUUUAAAAAGUUGUGUGAGGAUGGAAUUAUAAAAAUCUACCGUGUCAUGUAUCACCUCAAACAUAGUUCCUGUCAACAGUUUAAUAACCGCUGUCAAUCAAUUCUCACGGUAACCUAGCCUAUAUUUAACUGUACGAUCAAUACUAAUGCUCUACACUCUGCCAGUGCUCAUACCUAGUAACAGCUCAACUAACUGAUGUUUAAACCAGACUUACCCAAUCAAUAAUAAUAAUAAUAUUAUUAUGAUAUGCACUGUAAGACGAUGCAUAUGCCAACCAUCAGGGAUUCUUCCUUAUACUGCGGUACCUACUCUAUCCCCUUAAAGCUCCUGAAAUCAUGUUCAGUGAUUCAGUCAGUUUUACACCACCACCAUGCAGUUUUUGUCAUUUUGCACACCAUGAUGGUGUUACACAAAAAAACUAACAAAAAAUGUGGCCCUAAUCUUAUUAAACGUUAUAAUUUUGAGCAAUAGUUUUAUUAUUUGCUACCUUAUCAAGUGCAAAAGGUGAAGCUCGAUAUCUGAAGGUAGGUAGAACAUGGUCCAAGAUCCUGUAAGUUUACUCCUGUUGUUUCAUGGUGCUGUGAUACACUUCUAACAAGAUUAUUGAUCUUAAUCACCCAAACAUAUGAAGAUCAAAGGUUACAUUUCCCCUAAUACUGAAACAUUCGCAAGUGGCACAGUACACAUCACACGUUUUGUAAUAUCCUGUAAGGCUUUGUAAACUAAAUCAACACGGUAUGAGACAACAUUGCCUCAUCUGUUCUUUGUGUUCCCUUUCGGAGCACAUAGACGCCUGCAGAAAUUGUUGCUCAAACACACAUUGAGGCCCAGAAUGCAUUGAGAGAUACACACAGUUUUGUCCUAGUUUUCCAACAGACUUUUGGCUGGAAUGUAGGCCCCUGAGGCUAAGCUCAAGUUUUCUAAUUUUUCCACAGUGUGUGUCAUAAAUCUGUGACAGAGGCCUACAUUUGCAUAUGAGUGGCUACAGAUAAAUUAAGACAGUUAAGGUGUUAAGGUUUCUAAUAUGGCUAUGUGACAUGGUUCAGAUUGAAACGUCUCCGUGUGGGACACUUCGUAUGACUUGGAUUUAGUGGUCUAUUAGUAGAAGGGUGCAGGCUGUUUACCUUGUGUUUGAGGGGUGUGCAUUACACGUAGGCCUGAGGUGAGCUGGCCUAUAAACUCUAGAGAGACCCCACACACCUCAGCAAUUGGAGCAGCAGGAGUAUAAGUAACUGGCAACGAUCUCAUCAGAGAUACAGUCCGCUUCUCGCCUCAGCUCUAAGUAGACGGUCAUAUGUUUGUGUGUGUGCGCGUGUGUUUGUGUACAUGUGCAUACUGACAGCGUGAGAAAUGCGAGAAGGGGCUUGCAGCAGGGGAGCAACGACCCCUGUAAAGCAGAUAUGCAAGAGAGUCAAGGACGCUGUAAGCAACAAUAACACAACAUCCGGUCUGCACGCAAACACUGUAAACACGAGUUUUCAAUAAUAUUUGAUGAUAAGAUUUUAUCUGAUGCCCGUUUAGUAAAUGUACAACUUUCCAUGACUGUAGCUUCCGUUGUGGAUUUUAUGGAAAAACAAAUCUACAAAUCAUGAUGAAGCCUUCAAACAUGUGAAAUAGUGGGGGAUGUCUAGAAGGACUUUUGAAAAGCAUACAAUGUAGGCCAUAGGUGUCAUGUGUCUGUGUGGAGAUUUUGAAGGGGGGGGGAUUGUUGUUCAGAAGUAAAAUGGUUUUAGUUAAAAAACUAUAGACUAAAACUAAAGUCAUUUGUGCUCAUGGUCAGUGUUGGAUUUGGAGGAGGCCUGUCAACGUUUAGAACAGUUUGGUUUUGUCAAAUGAGAUUUUCUGGAUGUGUUUUUGUCUGUGCUCUUCUCACUGGUCUGAAGUGGGCGAGGCCUAGAUGGAAAAAGGUGAUGUCACAUAUUUGUGUGCACCAGUCGGCUUUAGCUGACAACAUUUGGGUGGUUGUUUGCGUGUGUUGAUCAAAUCUGAUGUAACCACACCCACAGAGUCCUGGUGAAGCACUUUUGUUGAGAUUUUGAGUUUUUAAACUCUUAAUAAAUACUAACUUAAGAUGUGUUUUUUUUCCCUCAAACGUUACUUUUCAUUUUUCCUUAUGAGUCAUUUUUAUUUACAGUUCUUCUUCUGUGGAGGCCAGCAUGUUGAACCGCCAUGUUUCUACAGUAGCCUGGAACGGACAAACCAAAAACUGGCUCUAGAUAGGGCUGUUUGCGCUUUUCAUUCACUUCGUGGCCAAAAUGGCUGCUGUGCAGGUGUAGCUGUUAUGUCAUUUAACAAAACAAAUUACUGAUCCUAAAUGACUAGCCUACUCACUUUUAUAUAAGCUACAUUGAGAUGUGAAUUUAUUUAUCCUCAGUUGUGUAAGUGCCACCAGUCUCCCAAGGUCAACACAGUUAGAAGAAAGAAGAGAGAGUGAUGAUAGCAAAGGUGACAGAGGGUGACAAGUGAGCAAGAGGAGGAGGAGGAGUAAAGGCAAUUUAGAUGGUGUAUGCUACUGCUUUGGGCAGAGGGCCCAAACCCUCAGUUUGCUGGGAGACCACAGUAGGGGGUGGAGAGAGGGGGGGCUAGUUGAAUUGCAAGAGGUUACGUGAUUAUAAUGCAGAAAGGCUUACAGAGUAGGGGUGUCAACAAAAGGACAAAGCUUUACUGAACCCAAGAUUUCCCUGUAACUCAGUGCAUGUUCAUUAUGCUUCUGUGUGAAACAGAAUUAGAAACACUCAUUUUGCAGAGUAGGACACAGAUGUUUUCCUGUUUGUCCUGCAGUGCUGCUCCCCCACUAACUGUCCUCUAUCCAAGCAUCAUCAGCCAAUAUUUCUUCCCCUCCAGGGGCCCCGUACCGCCCCACUGGAAGUGUAGAAAGCAGGCAACAACACAAGCGCAUUCUCCCUUUCGUAUUUAUAACAUCUGACAUAUUCUUUUCCCGGUGUCAGAUAGCAUUGUAAUCCUCUGCCAGCCUUUUCUUAGCCUAGCAUCAAUCUGUGUUUCAGGUUUGGCUGUGGGAUAAAUGUCUGCCUUCGGCAUUGACAGGGUGGGGGGUGUUAGGGGGGUGGCUUCGGCCAGGCUCAUUAGA
This is a long non-coding RNA of Dicentrarchus labrax (European seabass), 4407 nucleotides long. RefSeq lists it as uncharacterized. The record is from RefSeq and is a predicted model, not a curated record. The transcript has 2 exons. Lineage: Eukaryota; Metazoa; Chordata; Actinopteri; Moronidae.